This 253-nucleotide ribosomal RNA is filed under the name uncultured bacterium. RNAcentral describes it as "partial 16S ribosomal RNA". It matches the Rfam family "Bacterial small subunit ribosomal RNA", at positions 524 to 776 of the family's 1533-position model. The record is from RNAcentral.
UACGAAGGGUGCAAGCGUUAUUCGGAAUGAUUGGGCGUAAAGGGUGCGUAGGCGGCUUAUUAAGUCAAUCGUUUAAUCUUUCGGCCUAACCGAAAAUCGGCGGUAGAUACUGAUGAGCUAGAGGAUGGAAGAGAGAAGUGGAAUUCUCGGAGUAGCGGUAAAAUGCGUAGAUCUCGAGAGGAACACCGAUGGCGAAGGCAGCUUCUUGGUCCAUUUCUGACGCUGAGGCACGAAAGCGUGGGGAGCAAACAGG